Molecule: ribosomal RNA, 403 nt
Filed under: bacterium
Lineage: Bacteria
Description: partial 16S ribosomal RNA
Rfam family: Bacterial small subunit ribosomal RNA
Source: RNAcentral
UGGGGAAUAUUGCACAAUGGGGGAAACCCUGAUGCAGCGACGCCGCGUGAACGAAGAAGGUAUUCGUAUCGUAAAGUUCUGUCCUAUGGGAAGAUAAUGACAGUACCAUAGAAGAAAGCUCCGGCUAAAUACGUGCCAGCAGCCGCGGUAAUACGUAUGGAGCGAGCGUUGUCCGGAAUUAUUGGGCGUAAAGGGUACGCAGGCGGUUUAAUAAGUCGAAUGUUAAAGAUCGGGGCUCAACCCCGCAAAGCAUUGGAAACUGAUAAACUUGAGUAGUGGAGAGGAAAGUGGAAUUCCUAGUGUAGUGGUGAAAUACGUAGAUAUUAGGAGGAAUACCAGUAGCGAAGUCGACUUUCUGGACACAAACUGACGCUGAGGUACGAAAGCGUGGGGAGCAAACAGG